AGAGCGGGAGCCCGGAGAUGGGCACUGAGACAAGGGCCCAGGCCCUACGGGGCGCAGCAGUCGCGAAAACUCCACAAUGCACGAAAGUGCGAUGGGGCUACCCCGAGUGCCGUCCGCUGAGGACGGCUUUUCCAUGGUGUAAGGAGCCGUGGGAAUAAGGAGAGGGCAAGCCUGGUGUCAGCCGCCGCGGUAAUACCAGCUCUCCGAGUGGUGAGGACGAUUAUUGGGCUUAAAGCGUUCGUAGCCGGCUUAACAAGUCUUCCGUUAAAUCCAACGAUCUAAUCGUUGGGCCGCGGAAGAUACUGUUGGGCUAGGAGGCGGGAGAAGCCGACGGUAUUCUCGGGGUAGGGGUGAAAUCCUGUAAUCCCGGGAGGACCACCAGUGGCGAAGGCGGUCGGCU
This 400-nucleotide ribosomal RNA is filed under the name uncultured archaeon. RNAcentral's name for it is "bacterial SSU rRNA". It matches the Rfam family "Archaeal small subunit ribosomal RNA", at positions 279 to 681 of the family's 1478-position model. The record is from RNAcentral.